AUACUUACCAGGUAGAGGAGAAUGCCAUGAUCCCAAUGAUAUUUUUCCUAAGGUGAGGCUUGUCCAUUGCUCUCUGGAUGUGUGAACCACCUUAUAUUAUGUGUCUCACCUUAAUAGAUCGUACUCAACACUAAGAGAUCUAAAAAUUUGAGGAUUAUGAAAUUAUAUUAUGCUAUGUAUAUAU
RNAcentral lists this small RNA (184 nucleotides) under Marmota monax (woodchuck). The record is from RNAcentral. Lineage: Eukaryota; Metazoa; Chordata; Mammalia; Rodentia; Sciuridae.